UCUAAGGGUUUUUUUCGAUCUUCUUUCUCUGUCAUAUUUUCAUGGUUCGCAACAACUCAAAUUUUCUUACGAUAUGCGAUUCUUUGCUCUUCAUUGUUUUUUUUUUCAGAUAAUUAUUUCAUAAUUUAAGUGAGAUUUACUCUCUUCCUGAAACCUAAAUUUCCACUCAAAGUGAAGACCCAUUCCCGUCAAGAUUCGAAACCUAAAUCUAAUGUUGUUGGCAUUGCGUCGAAGUCCCCCGGCGAAGGCAGAGAGAGCAACAAGGGGAGCAUGGAGAUGUCUAGGUUGGAUGCGUCGAAGAGGAGCAGGUCGUCGAAGUUCACGGCAAGGCAGAACAACUUGUCUAAGUUGCAGUUAAGGUUUACCAUCACCAGCGGCUCUCUGAUGAACUUCGGGUCCAUCGAAGUAACAAUAAGAAUCCAAUUCUUUUUUCUCUUCUUUAUGAGCUCAUACAUUUUCAUUCAAAAUUUUGAUACAUGAGAAUGCUUUCUUAUUGGUUUUGUCUGUUUAAUUUAAUGACUAUGUACGUAUAUAGUGCUUCUUGAUUAGUGUUCGAUUAUAAAACUCGGUAAGAAGAAGAUGGUUUUGAGCUUUGACAAAGCAAGGAAGACAACAAGGAACUAAGAGAUUGAUUAGAAAGCUUUAAUAUCAGAAGCCAGAAAGUACAGGACCAAGAUGGUGUUGAGUUUGGUGAAUAACUAUGAUGACUUUGGAGGAAAGAAACAAUAUUUGAGUGGGCAAAGAGUGAGGGUUAGUCCCCACAUUAUGAAGAUGACUUCUUCACAAAACUUCUUGUCAAGGGAUUCUACAAGAACCAUAUCCAGGUUAUAUAGUUUUGCAGCAAAUUCUUAUCAAUCAGUGUUUGUGUCAAUGUGGUGGGAGCAACAUGACAUAUGACAGGGGAAUGGUUAGAUUUAUACGCUUUUGGAUCAGAGUAUUAUAAAAAAUGCAUACUCUUUGUUUAGGAUUUAAUAGGUUUAUUUUAUGAUUUGCCUAGACAUGCCUAUGGUUCCUUGCAUCACCACCAAGGGUUUGAUUGCAUCACACAACCUAGAAAAUAACAAUUCGAGCCUGAGUACUGAUACAUAUUUAAUAAAUGAGUAUUGAUACAUACUACCCUUAUUCUUGACUUUGAGUAUAUUUGGGCAAGUUUUUCCAUAAACACUUCUCAGAAAGAAAAUAAGAAAAGAAUAGAAAUUAGUUUUUUCAUAACCAAAUUUGUAGAAAAUUUUCAUUUAGCUUCUCUAAAUUUUUAUUUUAACUUGUCCAUAGGCUAAAUUUAAACUUAUGGAUAAACUUUCUUAUUUCUCUCCCGAGUGCUUGUGAAAAAGCUUGUUUCAGUAAAUAUAUAUACCACAUUAUAUUAAUGGACCUCUUUAAACAAAUUGUUUUGAAUAUUAUAUACAUAUACUGUGACACGAAAUCUGUGUGGUUGGAAAAUUGAACCCCACAUGUGAAUACUUGCAUAAAUCAGCAACAAUUUAGAUAUACGUAAUCUAAGUUUCAAAAGAUCAAAAUGUACAUGCAACUUUUUACCUAUUGCUUCUUUUUUUAUCUCUUCCUCUCAUGUAUUUUAUCUUAACUCUUCUUAAUUUUAUUCUAUGUUCACAUUACAUGUUUUUUAGAUUUCAACAAAGUGUAGCCGAAACCUGCAAAAUAUUCAGUUUGGUCAGUGAUCUCUACUUUCAUAGAUUUACUGCACCCUUCAUACGACUAAUUACUACUUGCACCUUAGAUUUCUUUGUAAUGUUCUUUUAUUGAUACCAUUUUUAAAACUAAUGGAAAUUUAAUAACACAU
Molecule: long non-coding RNA, 1798 nt
Organism: Vigna unguiculata (cowpea)
Lineage: Eukaryota; Viridiplantae; Streptophyta; Magnoliopsida; Fabales; Fabaceae
Source: RefSeq, a predicted model, not a curated record